RNAcentral lists this ribosomal RNA (416 nucleotides) under uncultured bacterium. RNAcentral's name for it is "bacterial SSU rRNA". It matches the Rfam family "Bacterial small subunit ribosomal RNA", at positions 361 to 775 of the family's 1533-position model. The record is from RNAcentral.
AUAUUGGUCAAUGGACGAGAGUCUGAACCAGCCAAGUAGCGUGAAGGAUGACUGCCCUAUGGGUUGUAAACUUCUUUUAUAUGGGAAUAAAACAGGGUAUGCAUACCCUCUUGUAUGUACCAUAUGAAUAAGCAUCGGCUAACUUCGUGCCAGCAGCCGCGGUAAUACGGAGGCUGCGAGCGUUAUCCGGAUUUAUUGGGUUUAAAGAGUGCGUAGGCGGGCUUUUAAGUCAGCGGUAAAAAUUCGGGGCUCAACCCCGUCCGGCCGUUGAAGCUGGGGGCCUUGAGUGGGCGAGAAGAAGGCGGAAUGCGUGGUGUAGCGGUGAAAUGCAUAGAUAUCACGCAGAACCCCGAUUGCGAAGGCAGCCUUCCGGCGCCCUACUGACGCUGAGGCACGAAAGUGCGGGGAUCGAACAG